This 119-nucleotide ribosomal RNA is filed under the name Theobroma cacao (cacao). The record is from RNAcentral. Lineage: Eukaryota; Viridiplantae; Streptophyta; Magnoliopsida; Malvales; Malvaceae.
AGGUAAGAUCACACUAACAUUAAUGUACCGGAUUCCAUUAGAACUUCUCAGUUAAGCGUAUUUGGGCAAAAGUAGUACUAGGAUGGGUGACUUCUUAAGAAGUCCUCGUCUUGUACCUU